GUGCCAGCAGCGGCGGUAAUACGUAGGUGGCAAGCGUUGUCCGGAUUUAUUGGGCGUAAAGCGAGCGCAGGCGGUUUCUUAAGUCUGAUGUGAAAGCCCCCGGGCUCAACCGGGGAGGGUCAUUGGAAACUGGGGAACUUGAGUGCAGAAGAGGAAAGUGGAAUUCCAUGUGUAGCGGUGAAAUGCGCAGAGAUAUGGAGGAACACCAGUGGCGAAGGCGACUUUCUGGUCUGUAACUGACGCUGAUGUGCGAAAGCAUGGGGAUCAAACAGG
RNAcentral lists this ribosomal RNA (273 nucleotides) under uncultured prokaryote. Its description in RNAcentral is "partial 16S ribosomal RNA". It matches the Rfam family "Bacterial small subunit ribosomal RNA", at positions 505 to 776 of the family's 1533-position model. The record is from RNAcentral.